UGGGGAAUUUUGGACAAUGGGCGAAAGCCUGAUCCAGCAAUGCCGCGUGUGUGAAGAAGGCCUUCGGGUUGUAAAGCACUUUUGUCCGGAAAGAAAUCCUUGGCUCUAAUACAGUCGGGGGAUGACGGUACCGGAAGAAUAAGCACCGGCUAACUACGUGCCAGCAGCCGCGGUAAUACGUAGGGUGCAAGCGUUAAUCGGAAUUACUGGGCGUAAAGCGUGCGCAGGCGGUUUGCUAAGACCGAUGUGAAAUCCCCGGGCUCAACCUGGGAACUGCAUUGGUGACUGGCAGGCUAGAGUAUGGCAGAGGGGGGUAGAAUUCCACGUGUAGCAGUGAAAUGCGUAGAGAUGUGGAGGAAUACCGAUGGCGAAGGCAGCCCCCUGGGCCAAUACUGACGCUCAUGCACGAAAGCGUGGGGAGCAAAACAGGAUUAGAUACCCCUGGUAGUCCACGCCCUAAACGAUGUCAACUAGUUGUUGGGGAUUCAUUUCCUUAGUAACGUAGCUAACGCGUGAAGUUGACCGCCUGGGGAGUACGGUCGCAAGAUUAAAACUUAAAUGAAUUGACGGGGUCAUAGCUGUUUCCU
RNAcentral lists this ribosomal RNA (587 nucleotides) under uncultured bacterium. RNAcentral's name for it is "partial 16S ribosomal RNA". It matches the Rfam family "Bacterial small subunit ribosomal RNA", at positions 355 to 1375 of the family's 1533-position model. The record is from RNAcentral.